UGGGGAAUAUUGCACAAUGGGCGCAAGCCUGAUGCAGCAACGCCGCGUGAACGAUGAAGGUCUUCGGAUCGUAAAGUUCUGUUGCAGGGGAAGAUAAUGACGGUACCCUGUGAGGAAGCCCCGGCUCACUACGUGCCAGCAGCCGCGGUAAUACGUAGGGGGCUAGCGUUAUCCGGAUUUACUGGGCGUAAAGGGUGCGUAGGUGGUCUUUCAAGUCGGUGGUUAAAGGCUACGGCUCAACCGUAGUUAGCCUCCGAAACUGGAAGACUUGAGUGCAGGAGAGGAAAGUGGAAUUCCCAGUGUAGCGGUGAAAUGCGUAGAUAUUGGGAGGAACACCAGUAGCGAGGGCGGCUUUCUGGACUGCAACUGACACUGAGGCACGAAAGCGUGGGUAGCAAACAGG
RNAcentral lists this ribosomal RNA (403 nucleotides) under Verrucomicrobiota bacterium. RNAcentral's name for it is "Verrucomicrobia bacterium partial 16S ribosomal RNA". It matches the Rfam family "Bacterial small subunit ribosomal RNA", at positions 355 to 776 of the family's 1533-position model. The record is from RNAcentral. Lineage: Bacteria; Pseudomonadati; Verrucomicrobiota.